This 879-nucleotide ribosomal RNA is filed under the name Terriera pandanicola. RNAcentral describes it as "bacterial SSU rRNA". It matches the Rfam family "Eukaryotic small subunit ribosomal RNA", at positions 80 to 747 of the family's 1831-position model. Lineage: Eukaryota; Fungi; Ascomycota; Leotiomycetes; Rhytismatales; Rhytismataceae. The record is from RNAcentral.
UGUGAAACUGCGAAUGGCUCAUUAAAUCAGUUAUCGUUUAUUUGAUAGUACCUUACUACAUGGAUAACCGUGGUAAUUCUAGAGCUAAUACAUGCUAAAAACCUCGACUUCGGAAGGGGUGUAUUUAUUAGAUAAAAAACCAAUGCCCUUCGGGGCUUUUUGGUGAUUCAUAAUAACUUAACGAAUCGCAUGGCCUUGCGCCGGCGAUGGUUCAUUCAAAUUUCUGCCCUAUCAACUUUCGAUGGUAGGAUAGUGGCCUACCAUGGUUUCAACGGGUAACGGGGAAUUAGGGUUCUAUUCCGGAGAAGGAGCCUGAGAGACGGCUACUACAUCCAAGGAAGGCAGCAGGCGCGCAAAUUACCCAAUCCCGACACGGGGAGGUAGUGACAAUAAAUACUGAUACAGGGCUCUUUUGGGUCUUGUAAUUGGAAUGAGUACAAUUUAAAUCCCUUAACGAGGAACAAUUGGAGGGCAAGUCUGGUGAACUUUUAGUAGGUGGCCUGCGACGCAGGCGCUGCUGACGCCAGUGAGAGUUUUAUAGCUAGUCCCCUACCCGGGGGCGACACACCCAAUGUGCGGGAAGGCUACUCAGCCAAUCCGCAGCUGCUACCCGGCAGUUCAGAGGCUCGAUAGGUGUGGGCGCGCGCUACAGCACGCUUAAGAUAGAGUCCACACAGCGCUGCAACGCGCUGAAAAUGUGGCCAGCAGCCGCGGUAAUUCCAGCUCCAAUAGCGUAUAUUAAAGUUGUUGCAGUUAAAAAGCUCGUAGUUGAACUUCGGGAGCGGCCGCCCGGUCCGCCUCACCGCGUGCACUGGCGCGGCUGCUCCUUUCCUCCUGGGAGACACGAUGCCCUUCACUGGGUGUCGCUGAAAGCCAGGA